UAGCAUAUCAAUAAGCGGAGGAAAAGAAACUAACAAGGAUUCCCAUAGUAACUGCGAGUGAAGCGGGAAAAGCUCAAAUUUAAAAUCUGGCAGUCUUUGGCUGUCCGAGUUGUAAUCUAGAGAAGUGAUGCCCGCGCUGGACCGUGUACAAGUCUCCUGGAAUGGAGCGUCAUAGAGGGUGAGAAUCCCGUCUCUGACACGGACUACCAGGGCUUUGUGGUAUGCUCUCAAAGAGUCGAGUUGUUUGGGAAUGCAGCUCUAAAUGGGUGGUAAAUUCCAUCUAAAGCUAAAUAUUGGCGAGAGACCGAUAGCGAACAAGUACCGUGAGGGAAAGAUGAAAAGAACUUUGGAAAGAGAGUUAAACAGUACGUGAAAUUGCUGAAAGGGAAACGCUUGAAGUCAGUCGCGUUAGCUAGAACUCAGCCUCGCUCUUGCGUGGUGUACUUUCUGGUUGACGGGUCAGCAUCAAUUUUGACUGCUGGAAAAAGGUCUUGGGAAUGUGGCAGCUUCGGCUGUGUUAUAGCCCUUGGUCACAUACAGCGGUUGGGAUUGAGGAACUCAGCACGCCGCAAGGCCGGGUUUCGACCACGUUCGUGCUUAGGAUGCUGGCAUAAUGGCUUUAAGCGACCCGUCUUGAAACACGGACCAAGGAGUCUAACAUGCCUGCGAGUGUUUGGGUGGUAAACCCGAGCGCGUAAUGAAAGUGAAAGUUGAGAUCCCUGUCGUGGGGAGCAUCGACGCCCGGACUUGAACUUUUGUGACGGAUCCGCGGUAGAGCAUGUAUGUUGGGACCCGAAAGAUGGUGAACUAUGCCUGAAUAGGGUGAAGCCAGAGGAAACUCUGGUGGAGGCUCGUAGCGAUUCUGACGUGCAAAUCGAUCGUCAAAUUUGGGUAUAGGGGCGAAAGACUAAUCGAACCAUCUAGUAGCUGGUUCCUGCCGA
Molecule: ribosomal RNA, 941 nt
Filed under: Lycoperdon sp.
Lineage: Eukaryota; Fungi; Basidiomycota; Agaricomycetes; Agaricales; Lycoperdaceae
Description: partial large subunit ribosomal RNA
Rfam family: Eukaryotic large subunit ribosomal RNA
Source: RNAcentral